RNAcentral lists this non-coding RNA (21 nucleotides) under Caenorhabditis elegans. Lineage: Eukaryota; Metazoa; Nematoda; Chromadorea; Rhabditida; Rhabditidae. The record is from RNAcentral.
UGAGUAUUUUGGUUUUGAGUU